Cottoperca gobio is the source of this 1348-nucleotide long non-coding RNA. RefSeq lists it as uncharacterized. Lineage: Eukaryota; Metazoa; Chordata; Actinopteri; Perciformes; Bovichtidae. The transcript has 5 exons. The record is from RefSeq and is a predicted model, not a curated record.
CAUGACGCAGGGCUUGAUGUCCUGGUAGGAGACCUGUUGGUGGUGGUAGUACGAGCUGCUGCUCGGUGAGUGCAUCGCUGAGGACGUCAUGGCGUUGAACGAGAAGACAAACUCCUUUCGGUCACACAUACUUGGAGACUGGGAAUGGUACCGAGUCCUGCAGCAGCCUGAAGCCUUGUACACAGCGUCCGAAAUGGGAUGAGGAGCAGAACAGGAGCCGCUUUCCACUUCAGUUGGUGUGUUGUCGUGCGUCCGAGGAGCUCACUUUUUACUUAUCUGUUGCCAUCAGCGCAUUGGAAGCUGGAUGUCUUGGCCAUCCUAAUGUUGGGACCCGCCCAGUUCCCUCCUACUCCAGUGGUGGGCUGUAAGCAUGCACAUCUGUGGACGCAGGAGGAGUGAGGUGGAAGCUCUGCCGAGCUGUGAGCACAGAAAGUCGGACGGGGACUUGAGAUCGACUCCUGCAGGCAGUUUACCAUCGUAUGAUCCAGGAUUUAAGGAAGACUCAGUCCCACACAGUGAGUGGGAGACUGUUUGCUGCCCCACCCUGCAGCCCUGCACACCUCCCAGGGCCCGUCCAACAUGCUCUGUCUGAUGCACGGAGAGACAUCAAUAAUAAGAGCUGAAGCAGAAACCACAGUGGAGAACACGAAAGAGAGAGGGAGGGCAGAUGCAUGGCCACAACUGGCUCUGCUGCAGUCUGGAGUGGGCAGGCGUGCGGCUUUGGCCACAGGAAGCUGUGAAUUCUUUGGAGAAUGGAAGAUGUCUUAUGGGGAGACAUACUGGCCUCCACCCACCCACUCACCACCCCAAAAUGACACCUGACCCCUUCAUGUGUUUAUAUCAGACCAUGGAAGUGAGAAAUAGUGAUGAGUCACUCUGCCUGUGUGUUUACACUCCGGAGUCACGCAAGGAAGGAAAUCAGCCACGGUCUGCUAAAAGUGGCGAGGUGAGAGAGAAUGGCUGCAGUCCCCCAGCGCUGCAGUGAUUUACCUCCUCGGAGCCAGAAUUUAUUUCACGCCAUCUCUGCUGCGAAGACUUCAGACCAACAGAAAACGGCAACAUUUGCAGCGCAGUGGACUGAAACCCUUAUCGUGGUUUAAUCAUUAAGUAUUCAUUAAGAAUGAUUAUUUCAUUCUUAUUAGAUGCAGAGUGUUGAUCACAUCCAGUUGCUUUCUAAUCAAGGCAGACUGACUGGCAUAGAAUAAAUACCUGUAUCUCCACAAGUCACACGGAAAUAUUGUUUUCAGCUCAAUGAUAUAUUUCACUGAGUAAUUUGUCUUGAAACCUUUUUUCUCAGAUACAAGAAGAAUUGAGUAAUUGUUCAAUCUUAAUAAAAAAAUAAAAAUCA